GGAUGGGAGCCCAUCCUUUCCACAGUACAGGGAACAAAUUGCUCAAGGUGGCAGGAAGCUGUCUUUGUAGGAGUCAUAUCUCUGGGGAUCAUUUCAUGUGCAAUGGAAAAGGCAUUGGAGUUGGAACAUGGGAAGAAUCUGCUGAAUGCCAAGCAGGCCAUGCAGUCUCACCAGGCACUCCAAGAUGUGGCUGAGGCUGGUUGUUAAGCAGCUUUUGGCAUGUUUUUGAGCUUUCUCUCUGUCCCAGACUCACAGCAGCACUGCAAAACAUGAUGCCUUAUCUGACUUCUCAACUCUGUAGUCAAGAAGCACAGGAAAAGAAAAAAGCUAAUAUGUUCCACUCUCCCAAGCAAAAGUGGCAGAGCAGCAUCAAAAAGUGGAGGAGGACACAAGCCUGAGUGGCUGAGUCUGAAUUUCAUUGACUUCAUCAUGGCAGUGCCCACGGACCACUCCAGAAAUAAGGACCUGGAAGAACUUGCCAUAUGGAGAUGGAAACCAGAGAAGUGAGCAGGCAGAUGAAGCAGCUUGUACUUCUGAACAGUGAUAUACAGCUUGUGAUUGCUGACCCCAUGAGUAGCUUGCUUUUGGGGAAAAAAAUAAAAGGUUUUGUCUAGUAUCAGGUAGGGCCCCUUCUUCUCCUUCUUCCGAAGUCAUUCUGGAAGGAAGAAAAACACCCUUCAAAAAUAGAGAGCAUUCUCUUUUCAUUCCUACAGACAUCCUGCUGUCUUUGUAGUUAGUCAUCCGCAGUCUAAACUCCAACUUUAACCAGAGUUAUCAAAACCUAAAUUGCUUGUACCCAUGAAAAGUAAAUUACUAGGACUAAGUCAACCUUGCUGUUUGCCAGACUAUUCAGUUAUGACAGGAUGACUAAUUUAUCCCUCACCUUGUCAUUACAUAUGUGACUGAUGUGAUUUACAGAAACUCCCAUUAGAAUGACACUUGCUUCUCAUGCCAGGCUAAGCUCUACUCACAAGGAAAAGAAAUUUCAUUUCACCUCUCAUAGAGUCCUUGCCUAGAUGUUAAGGAAACUACCAAGAGAACCCUGAUGAAGCAAACACAACAGUGACUUCAUGGCGAAAAGGGACUAGCCUUGACCCUCGGUCAAGUUUAGUUUCCUCUUACAAAUUUUCCAGAAUAGUGAGGUGGAAACAGAAAGAAACACUGAAAAAAGAAAAACUGAAUUCUGUGGAAAAACUAUAAAGUAUGGACAGAGAAAAGGGGUGGAAAACAUAUCCUAUUGCAGAGCACAAAACAAGAUUUUUCUUUUUUCCUAGUGGA
Long non-coding RNA from Sturnus vulgaris (Common starling), 1278 nucleotides. RefSeq lists it as uncharacterized. Lineage: Eukaryota; Metazoa; Chordata; Aves; Passeriformes; Sturnidae. The record is from RefSeq and is a predicted model, not a curated record.